Non-coding RNA from Chrysemys picta bellii (western painted turtle), 5491 nucleotides. The record is from RefSeq and is a predicted model, not a curated record. NCBI's taxonomy places the organism in Eukaryota, Metazoa, Chordata, Testudines, Emydidae.
CCCCGCCCUCUGGGUUCUCUAUGAUUACCCUGCUCUGGUCUCCAAUAGGAGGCGUGGGGGAGCUCGAGGCCCCGCCCAGAGCCUGAUCAGCUGAUGGCUGGCAAUGUCUGUUGACAGCAGCAGCCUCCGCGGCAGGACUGGGUAUGUGAAUCCAAAUGGAGCACUCUGAAGGAGGAGACCAAAACCAGCAGCAACAGCCUUGGGGGAAGCUGAUCCGGUUAGGUGCUGAUGAAGCAGAGCCCCAUGUGUUACUGCUGAAAAGAGAAUGGACAAUUGGGCGGAAAAAAGGUUGUGACUUGUCCUUUCCUGGCAACAAACUGGUGUCUGGAGAUCACUGUAAGAUUACAGUGGAUGAAGAAUCUGGACAAGUAUCAUUGGAGGAUACCAGCACUAAUGGAACAGUAAUUAAUAAACUGAAAGUGGUUAAGAAGCAGACAUGCUCUUUGCAGACUGGGGAUGUGAUCUAUGUUGUUUACAGGAAGAAUGAGCCAGAAAACAAUGUUGCUUAUCUCUAUGAAUCCUUCAAUGCAAAACAAGAUGUAACACAAGAACCAGUAGAAGCUAAUGUAGAAAAUACUUGCCAUCUGACCAAAGAUACCUCACAUAUAGGAAGAAGUGAUGAUGGAACCCAAAUUACCUCAUCACUGCCAGCCACUCAGUCUUGCUAUGAGGAACCACAGCCAUCUACUUCUACAUCUAACCUCUUUAAUGCUUCUUCUACCUCUCUUAUCGAGCGGGCAUCUGCUGAGCAGGAUAAUCCUUCAACAUCUGGAUCACAGUCCUCUGUUUUCAUUCCUGUGCCUGCUUUCCCCACUCUAGAACCUAGGUGUCCUGGAGCAUCACAUGAAGAACAAGGACAGCUGUAUGCAAAUAGUGAAACUUCCACUAUCACUUCAAAUAUCAUUGAUAAAGAGAAAAAUGAAAGUUCUACAUCAGAGCCUCAAAGGGAAGAGGAGGAGGACUUGGAGCCUGCAAAGAAGAAAAUAAAAGGAGAUGAGAAUGCUAGUCCAUACCUUCAGAUGACCGCUCCAAAUCAAUGUAUAAUUAAAGCUGGAUCUGAAGGUGCAAAAACAACAAAUGUGAAACCAGACAAAAUGGAAGAAACACUCACUUGCAUUAUCUGCCAGGAAUUGCUGCAUGACUGUGUCAGCUUGCAGCCCUGCAUGCACACCUUCUGUGCUGCCUGCUACUCAGGGUGGAUGGAACGGUCUUCUCUCUGUCCAACUUGCCGUUGUCCAGUUGAACGUAUCUGUAAGAACCAUAUACUGAAUAACUUGGUUGAAGCCUAUCUAAUCCAACAUCCAGAUAAGUGUCGUAAUGAAGAGGAUGUACGUAGUAUGGAUGCCAGAAACAAAAUCACUCAAGACAUGCUGCAGCCUAAAGUGCGAAGGUCAUUUUCAGAUGAAGAAGGAAGUUCUGAGGAUCUGCUGGAACUGUCGGAUGUAGAUAGUGAAUCCUCCGAUAUCAGUCAGCCUUAUAUAGUGUGCAGACAGUGCCCAGGAUAUCGGCGACACUCCAUUCCGCCACUUCCUUGCCCAGGCCAAGAGGGGGAAGCAGGAGGAUUGCAAGCAUUGGGAGAUGCACCAUCGACGUCUGCUAACUUUCCUGCAACUGUCCAGGAGUAUGUUUGUCCUUCUCAAGGAAGUCAUGUAAUAUGCACGUGCUGUUUUCAACCAAUGCCAGACCGAAGAGCAGAGCGUGAACAGAAUCCCAAUAUUGCCCCUCAGCAAUGCACAGUUUGUCUACAGCCGUUCUGUCACUUGUACUGGGGCUGCACUCGGAUGGCAUGUUUUGGCUGCUUGGCACCAUUCUGUGAAAUAAAUCUUGGUGACAAGUGUUUAGAUGGAAUCCUAAACAACAACCAUUAUGAGUCGGAUAUUCUAAAGGAAUACCUGGCAUUCAGGGGUUUUACAUGGAAAAACAUGUUAAAUGAAAGUCUCUUAGCUCUUCAAAGAGAAGUUUUUAUGCUGUCAGAUUACAGAAUUACUGGGAACACAGUGCUUUGUUAUUGUUGUGGCCUCCGCAGCUUCCGAGAGCUCGCCUACCAGUAUAGGCAGAAUAUUCCUGCUGCUGAAUUGCCAGUGACUGUCACAUCACGUCCUGAUUGCUACUGGGGGCGCAAUUGCCGGACUCAGGUUAAAGCACACCAUGCUAUAAUUGAAAUUUAUUCCUAGGUUCAUGGACCGUGGAACAUCUGUUGGUCCAAUUUCAAAUUUAGUUUAGGUGCUUUGAUGUACAUCUGCGAGAGUUAUCUGUAGCACUGGGCUGCAUUGUUGUUGCUAGGGGGCAUUUUGAUGCGCUUGGGAGCUGAUUCAGUGUCAAAACAACUGCCAGACUUUCCUAUUCAGAUUGAAGUUGGGUUUUUUGUAUCCCUCUGGAAUAGGAAUUGAAGGAAGCUUUAGUGAUAAUUCAGUGCUCUUUCUUCAAGCGUUAGCUGUACAUAGAACUUUGGACAAGCUUCUAGUUCCAGAAACCCAUGAAACAAAACAGUCCUGACACACCACUCUUACACACCACACACCUUCUGCAUGAGGCAGAGCUAGUCUGCUAACUGGUGUGGGUUUGAGACCAGAUUCUUAUUAAAUAAGAGGGCUGAGAGCCUCAGGCCUUCUACUCAUCUCCUGCAAACAUCUACACGCUCAACUCUCAACUUGUGCCUUAAAUACAUGUUGGGGCACUGAACCCAUCAGGGAGAACACAAGAACAGACAAGUACUUGACAGAAAUUCAAUCACAUUUGUGAACAAACACGUUUCAAGAACUGAACUUUCUGAAAUUGAAGCUGUCUGAAUAUUUGUAGUCUUUAGAGAGGGGAUGAAAGCCCGAAAUACUGAUCACAUAGGAAAUGUUUUCAGGGGAUUUUCAUUAUUCCCUCACAGCAGGGAGUUAAUAACUUUUUCAUCAGGUACUCUGGUGUGACCUUUUUAAUUUGUAGAGUUUAACAGUUUAUAUAUGAGUAAGCGAGAACCUUUUGAAAGAAAAUCUGACAAGCAUUGCAUUCCAUCCUCAUUAUUACAGUGUUACUAUUUCACUAUACUUAAAUCAAGUAAUAGCAGCCAUACAUUGGAGGUCCUAACAAUAAUCAGUAAGGAGUGUAUUUGCACUAAAUGUGUCUGAAAAUAAGAGAAACCUUUAAAUUAAAAUGGAAAUGCUCUGUACCGGUAACUUAAUAUCAAAGGAGGAAACUCAGCACAUGUUCAGACUUGUCCACUGCUAUCUUGUCAUUAGCAUUGCAGUUAGGAUGGAAAUCUAUUAAAGUUCACUUUCACAAAACAGUACGGUGAUCUGGUAUACAUUCCAUCAGAAUGGUUUUGUAUUAAUUUUUUUUCCCUAUUCAUUAAACAAACAACAGCUUCAGCUUACAGCUCCAAAUCAGAACAGUGCUUUGCAGGAACGCUAUAAAGGAAAACAUUUUUUUUUAGUUUAGUAAUAUUGAUGUUUUUUUACCAUUAGAAUUAAAUAACUCAAACAGUUGCACAAACAUUUACAAAUCAGACUCAAAUUUGGGAUAGUAAUUGCUUAUGAAUAAGCUUCUGCUUUUAAUAACUGUUUAGCAAUUUUAUAUCAAACUAAACCAUUAUUGACAUAGAGCAGACAGUAAGACAAGUUGGUGCAAUUUUUUAAAUUUAUUUUUUGGUGUGAUGUCGUACGUUAGCUAGGCAUGUAGUUUUUAUCUUGCAGCUGUGCUCUAACGUGUGCACAUCGGUAAAAGCAUAGAAAAGCUGCCAGUUCUACAGAAUAUAACAGAUUUACAAGAAAGAACAAAUGUUACCUAUGAAAAGGUCCACCACAGAUGAACUUUAGCAAUAUGGAGAAAUUCUUUUGAUGUGGGAGAGAUUUUAAGGGGAACACUGGUGUCUCUAACGUUGAGUAUGUAGACUUAAUUUUUCACUCAUCUAUUUUUUGCUUAAUUAUGUUCAGAACAUUUCCUGAGCAUCAUAAAAAUGUGAUGUAGUCAUAAAUAUUUCCUAGUCAUUUGUCAACUAACGUUCACAUGCUUGACUUGGACCAGCUUUUCAUAAGUAUCAUGCCCAGGAGAGCAAAGUAGAAUGGGCAGAAAGAGUACAAAGUUACCUCUGUAUAUAUCAUGUUUUACGUAUGCCUUCUUUUGCAAGCAAGAUUUAUACUUCAACAUAAAAAAACCACUCUAUGCUAUGUGUUAUAGUGCAGCACAGGAUGAUGUAGCACAUUGUAUCUGUUAGUCAAUUAAUUAAAAAAAUACAAUACUGCACAUGUUAAUAUAAAUGCUAAUUAAAAAUAAUGGAUUUCUGUUCAUAUUUUAAUUUUAAAAGUAGCUGCAGCAGUGAUGGGUCUGUUGGUAAUAUCCAUAAUGCUGUUAAAAGUACACUUGGGUGUGGACUUCUCUUCCUAAUCUCUGGGCAUUUCCUCCAGUGAGUAGGGUUGAAAUCAGAUCUGGAAUAAUACUUGAAACUUGUUAACAAAACUUUCUGUCUACCUUUUAUUAUUACUAACAAUGUUCUGUUGCAUCUGUAUUCAUAUUUUAUGUUUAGAAAGAUUGAUUUUUUUAAUGGUUACUAUAUCUUCUCAGGACAGCCAUUCCCAGCUGUUUGGUCUCAAUUUCAACUCUGGCUGUGCAUGUAAGCAAAUUGCAUGUAUUUGUGGAAAGAGAGCCUUUGCACAUUACAUGUAGAAAUGUGAUUUGCGUUCUCACUCAGUACUUUCCAUGCUCCACAUUGGCUUUUAGCAUAGGCUUGUCACUAUGCUAAUGUUCAAGUCCCAAAUGUGCUGAAUUUUUGUGGAGUAAGAAUAACGUCUACAACCCUAUGUACAACUUCUCUUGCACCUGCACAAGCUGUUGGGACAUAUGUGACACAUUAUGUGACAUGUUAAAAAUCUACAACAUUCUCAAGUACUUGACAUCCAAACUACCUGUAUAGUAGAGGUUCCUUAUAUACCUUUUAUGUACCCCUCUCUUCCCCCCUCCCCAAUAGAGAAUAAAUAUGCCUUUCUAUGCAUAGGGGGUUGAAGUAGUGCAAUGGAAUGAGAAGUUUUUUGUGAUUAUAUUGUACUUGGAAGAGCUGAGAGAUUAACUUGCAAAUGGGGAGGGUGAAUAAAUCCUGAUCUUUAUAUGCUCUUAAGUAACUAAGAGCAUCUGUCAUGGGUAUUACAUACUCUUAUACAUUAGUCCUUUUAAAAUGUAUGGUUGCCAGGUGAUAUUUAGAUAAUGUGAUAACUGUAUAAACUAUACUUGGUGUAAUUGUUUAAAUACUGUAAAGGUGCACCAUAUUUUUAACCUGUCUAAAGCAUACCCCCACCCUCUUUAUAAGAGACAUUUGGGAGCUGAGCAUGGAACCUUGUAGAAUAGAUGUUGUGAAAACAAGGGUGAUUAUGAUAGGGUUUAAUGUAGUGGUGAAUAAGAUACAGUCUCCUUCUGUGAGAAGGUUCUUUUAUAAAGAAGGUGGAAUGCAGUUCUUCCAAUUCUUUUUGUGAUUUCCUGGAUUAAAAAGUUAUUAAAAAAAUUACCCACUGAA